GCAGUCGAACGAACUCUGGUAUUGAUUGGUGCUUGCAUCAUGAUUUACAUUUGAGUGAGUGGCGAACUGGUGAGUAACACGUGGGAAACCUGCCCAGAAGCGGGGGAUAACACCUGGAAACAGAUGCUAAUACCGCAUAACAACUUGGACCGCAUGGUCCGAGUUUGAAAGAUGGCUUCGGCUAUCACUUUUGGAUGGUCCCGCGGCGUAUUAGCUAGAUGGUGGGGUAACGGCUCACCAUGGCAAUGAUACGUAGCCGACCUGAGAGGGUAAUCGGCCACAUUGGGACUGAGACACGGCCCAAACUCCUACGGGAGGCAGCAGUAGGGAAUCUUCCACAAUGGACGAAAGUCUGAUGGAGCAACGCCGCGUGAGUGAAGAAGGGUUUCGGCUCGUAAAACUCUGUUGUUAAAGAAGAACAUAUCUGAGAGUAACUGUUCAGGUAUUGACGGUAUUUAACCAGAAAGCCACGGCUAACUACGUGCCAGCAGCCGCGGUAAUACGUAGGUGGCAAGCGUUGUCCGGAUUUAUUGGGCGUAAAGCGAGCGCAGGCGGUUUUUUAAGUCUGAUGUGAAAGCCUUCGGCUCAACCGAAGAAGUGCAUCGGAAACUGGGAAACUUGAGUGCAGAAGAGGACAGUGGAACUCCAUGUGUAGCGGUGAAAUGCGUAGAUAUAUGGAAGAACACCAGUGGCGAAGGCGGCUGUCUGGUCUGUAACUGACGCUGAGGCUCGAAAGUAUGGGUAGCAAACAGGAUUAGAUACCCUGGUAGUCCAUACCGUAAACGAUGAAUGCUAAGUGUUGGAGGGUUUCCGCCCUUCAGUGCUGCAGCUAACGCAUUAAGCAUUCCGCCUGGGGAGUACGGCCGCAAGGCUGAAACUCAAAGGAAUUGACGGGGGCCCGCACAAGCGGUGGAGCAUGUGGUUUAAUUCGAAGCUACGCGAAGAACCUUACCAGGUCUUGACAUACUAUGCAAAUCUAAGAGAUUAGACGUUCCCUUCGGGGACAUGGAUACAGGUGGUGCAUGGUUGUCGUCAGCUCGUGUCGUGAGAUGUUGGGUUAAGUCCCGCAACGAGCGCAACCCUUAUUAUCAGUUGCCAGCAUUAAGUUGGGCACUCUGGUGAGACUGCCGGUGACAAACCGGAGGAAGGUGGGGAUGACGUCAAAUCAUCAUGCCCCUUAUGACCUGGGCUACACACGUGCUACAAUGGAUGGUACAACGAGUUGCGAACUCGCGAGAGUAAGCUAAUCUCUUAAAGCCAUUCUCAGUUCGGAUUGUAGGCUGCAACUCGCCUACAUGAAGUCGGAAUCGCUAGUAAUCGCGGAUCAGCAUGCCGCGGUGAAUACGUUCCCGGGCCUUGUACACACCGCCCGUCACACCAUGAGAGUUUGUAACACCCAAAGUCGGUGGGGUAACCUUUUAGG
Molecule: ribosomal RNA, 1423 nt
Filed under: Lactiplantibacillus plantarum
Lineage: Bacteria; Bacillati; Bacillota; Bacilli; Lactobacillales; Lactobacillaceae
Description: bacterial SSU rRNA
Rfam family: Bacterial small subunit ribosomal RNA
Source: RNAcentral